Molecule: ribosomal RNA, 386 nt
Filed under: Staphylococcus aureus
Lineage: Bacteria; Bacillati; Bacillota; Bacilli; Caryophanales; Staphylococcaceae
Description: bacterial SSU rRNA
Rfam family: Bacterial small subunit ribosomal RNA
Source: RNAcentral
UGACAAACCGGAGGAAGGUGGGGAUGACGUCAAAUCAUCAUGCCCCUUAUGAUUUGGGCUACACACGUGCUACAAUGGACAAUACAAAGGGCAGCGAAACCGCGAGGUCAAGCAAAUCCCAUAAAGUUGUUCUCAGUUCGGAUUGUAGUCUGCAACUCGACUACAUGAAGCUGGAAUCGCUAGUAAUCGUAGAUCAGCAUGCUACGGUGAAUACGUUCCCGGGUCUUGUACACACCGCCCGUCACACCACGAGAGUUUGUAACACCCGAAGCCGGUGGAGUAACCUUUUAGGAGCUAGCCGUCGAAGGUGGGACAAAUGAUUGGGGUGAAGUCGUAACAAGGUAGCCGUAUCGGAAGGUGCGGCUGGAUCACCUCCUUUCUAAGGA